This 1714-nucleotide long non-coding RNA is filed under the name Canis lupus familiaris (dog). Its description in RNAcentral is "lncRNA (ENSCAFG00000055285.1)". The record is from RNAcentral. Lineage: Eukaryota; Metazoa; Chordata; Mammalia; Carnivora; Canidae.
AACCUUUUCUCCUUAUCCUUUAAUAUCCAAAUCAAAUUUUAUCUCCUCUGUUAAGUUUUCUAUGACUCACCUUAUUCCUAUCAUCCUGCUUGCAUGAACAAAACCAAGUCUGUUUGGGAAUCAGUGACUAGGAAUACUUCUCUUCAAAGUCCAGAGGGAGAAAACUGGUUGGAUGAGUUCAAAGAGACAUUUUAAGGCAAAUAGGUAGAACAGUAGGAAAGUCUUUGUUAAGCAGCCUUAGCCAUCUUAUUGCACAGUGGCUUUGGAUCCAGCUAAAUGAAUAUAAAAGUAAUUACUUUUAUAGAUAUUGGGCUAUUCAUGUAUUCCAUUUCUUCUUCUUUCUUCUAAAGUGAGCUUUAGUGGUUUGAGUCUCAAGGAGUUCGUCAAUUUCACAUAUGUUGUUCAUUAUAUGCCUUUAUCAUUCUUUAAAUGCUGGUGCUAAUGGAAACCAAAUUAAAGAUAAGACUUAUCAAAUGUAUAAGAAACAUAAUCUAAUUUGUUGGAUCUGUAGUGAAGUUCCCUUUUUCAUUUGUAAUAUUGGUUCUAGUGUUCUCUCCCCUUUUUUUCCCCGCUCAUCUGGAUAAAGUUUUAUCAGCAUUAUUAUUCUUUUAAAAGAAACAGUUUUUAAUUUCAUUGAUUUUUUUCUUUUGUUUUUCUCUUUACUCUUUCAGUCAUUUCUGCUCUUAUCAUCAUUAUUUCCUCCUCUUGCUUAUCUUGAACUAAAUUUGCUCUUCAAGUUUUUUAAGAUCAUUGAUUUGAGACCUUUCUUCUUGUCUAAUAUAACCAUUUAAUGUAAUAAAUUUGUUUCUGGGCAUUGCUUUGGCUGCAUCCCACACAUUUUUAUGUUGUAUAUUCAUUUUCACUCAGUUCAAAAUAUUUUCUAAAUUUUCUUGUGAUUUCUUCUGUCAUCCACAGAUUAUUUAGAAUGUGUUCUUUAGAUUCCAAAUAUCUGGGGAUUUUCCAGAUAAUUUUUUAUUGAUUUUUUUUGUUCAAUUCCUGCUCUCCAUCUGGUCCUGAGUUUGAAGCUAGGACUCUGAUCUCUGUCUGGGCUGUGAUGAUGGGUCCCUAUUAGGAUUUAAUCCUAAUCCUUCAUACCCUGAACCUCUUGCCCUUUGGUAGUCUUCAUGGGACUCAUCUGGAUGUGUCUGAUUCUCUGUCUUCUACCUGAUGUGAUAGAGGGAUCAUAAACAACAGUAAAUCUGAUAGGAAAUCAAAUGCAGAUCAAUUAAAAGUCUACCAAAGUGCAUUAAAGGUUUCACAGAAUUUAGAUAAGUAAUAUAAACAGAGUGAACUCCAAAAAUAGUAACUGAGGAAUAGGGCACUGGAUAAGGACCCUUGAAAUAUAUGUAAAUAACAUAUUUUUAUAAAAAUCUAAAUGUAAUUACUUCUUUAUUGAAAAAGAAUAUACUAGAAAAAAUUUCAAUUAAUCUCAAAUGAAGAGUACGUGAAGAAAAACAGCUGAAAUAUAUAGGAUCCAAUGUCUAUCUACACUCCUUAUAAAGUCUUCAGACAGACAUCUUACAUAAUGAAGCACAAACAAACCAAUUCAUAAACACUUCUCUUAAUUUGAAGAAAGUCAUGAUUGAUAUUCAUGGAAUCCAGGCCCUAUUAAAAUAUAUCCUCUUUACAGAAUGGAGCAAAUUACAACAAUCAAGGGAGAUGCUUAAAGAGGCAAUUAAAACACGAGUAUGUUACUUAAUCUGAUUACAGGCAA